UGGGUGACCUGCCCUUCACUCUGGGAUAAGCCUGGGAAACUGGGUCUAAUACCGGAUAUUCACUUCUUGUUGCAUGACAGGUAGUGGAAAGCUUUUUGUGAUGGGGGAUGGGCCCGCGGCCUAUCAGCUUGUUGGUGGGGUGAUGGCUUACCAAGGCGACGACGGGUAGCCGGCCUGAGAGGGCGACCGGCCACACUGGGACUGAGACACGGCCCAGACCUCCGUACGGGAGCAG
Molecule: ribosomal RNA, 235 nt
Filed under: uncultured bacterium
Lineage: Bacteria
Description: partial 16S ribosomal RNA
Rfam family: Bacterial small subunit ribosomal RNA
Source: RNAcentral